RNAcentral lists this small nucleolar RNA (118 nucleotides) under Otolemur garnettii (small-eared galago). Its description in RNAcentral is "Small nucleolar RNA SNORA46 (ENSOGAG00000027272.1)". The record is from RNAcentral. Lineage: Eukaryota; Metazoa; Chordata; Mammalia; Primates; Galagidae.
AGCAGGAAUUCUAGAGCUUAAGAAUUAAACUGACUAGUGCAAAAGAAUUCCUGGCUCUUUCUCUUGCACAGCUGACUUGCACCAUUCUGCUGUUGCUAUAUAGAGUUCAGGAACAUGA